AUGCCGCUCCUCCUCUCGCCCCUCGCGGCGCGGUGCCUCCACCGCUCCCCGCACCUCCCCGCGCCCGUCGCGCACCACCCCUCCCGCCCCCGUCCUCUCGGCGGCGAGACCCGCGGAGGUACCAGGGGGAGGAGAGUGGCGGUGGUGUCGGAGAGGCAGGCGGCGGCGGCGGUGUUGGCCGCGGAGAAGUCCCCGGGAGGAGAGGGAGGCGACGGAGAGCGAUACGACGCGAUAGUGGUCGGGUCGGGGAUCGGGGGCCUGGUGGCGGCGACCCAGCUGGCCGCCAAAGGGGCGCGGGUGCUGGUCCUCGAGAAGUACAUCAUCCCCGGGGGCAGCUCCGGGUACUACCGCCGCGACGGGUUCACCUUCGACGUCGGCUCCUCCGUCAUGUUCGGGUUCUCCGACAAGGGAAACUUAAAUUUGAUAACACAAGCACUAGAAGCAGUUGGAUGUAAGAUGGAAGUCAUACCAGACCCUUCUACGGUUCAUUUCCAUCUACCUGGUGCCCUCUCCGUUCUUGUGCAUAGGGAGUAUAAUGACUUCAUUGAAGAGCUGGUUAGCAAAUUCCCGCAUGAAAAAGAAGGAAUCCUAAAAUUCUAUGGCAUAUGUUGGAAGAUCUUCAAUUCAUUAAAUUCUUUGGAACUAAAGUCCUUGGAAGAACCUCUAUACCUAUUCGGGCAAUUUUUUAAGAAGCCUUUGGAAUGCUUGACUCUCGCAUACUAUCUGCCACAGAAUGCGGGGGAUAUUGCUCGCAAGUUCAUAAAAGAUCAGCAGUUGCUAUCCUUCAUAGAUGCUGAGUGUUUUAUUGUGAGCACAGUCAAUGCCUUGAAAACACCCAUGAUCAACGCGAGCAUGGUAUUGUGUGAUAGGCACUUUGGAGGAAUUAACUAUCCAGUUGGUGGUGUUGGUGGUAUUGCGGUGUCUUUGGCAAAUGGCCUUGUUGAAAAGGGCAGCGCAAUACGUUACAAGGCGAAUGUGACCAAUGUUAUUCUUGAAAAUGGGAAAGCUGUUGGAGUGAGGUUGUCAAAUGGGAAGGAGUUAUUCGCUAGAACAGUAAUAUCAAAUGCCACAAGAUGGGACACAUUUGGAAAACUCGUGAAGGCUGAAGAGCUUCCAGAAGAGGAGAAAAACUUUCAGAAGAACUAUGUUAAAGCGCCAUCAUUUCUAUCCAUUCAUCUGGGUGUCAAAGCCUCAGUUUUACCUGCUGGUACUGAUUGCCACCAUUUUGUACUGGAGGAUGACUGGUCGAACUUGGAAAAGCCUUAUGGAAGCAUAUUUUUAAGUAUCCCUACAGUUCUUGAUCCAUCCUUGGCUCCUGAAGGACAUCACAUACUUCAUAUAUUUACAACUGCAGGUAUAGAAGAUUGGGAGGGUCUACCUAGGAAGGAUUAUGAGCAGAAAAAGGAGCUUGUGGCAAAUGAGAUCAUACGAAGACUUGAAAAUAAGUUGUUUCCUGGUCUUCAAGACUCAAUAGUCCUCAAGGAGGUAGGAUCCCCAAAAACUCACCGCAGAUUUCUUGCCCGAAAUGAUGGUACAUAUGGACCCAUGCCACGGGGUAAACCCAAGGGUUUGCUGGCAAUGCCUUUCAAUACCACUUCAAUAGAUGGACUUUACUGCGUCGGCGACAGCUGUUUUCCUGGGCAAGGAGUGAUUGCUGUGGCAUUUUCAGGGGUCAUGUGUGCUCAUCGUGUUGCAGCAGACAUAGAUCUUGAACAAAGGUCUCCUAUUCUAGACACCGGCCUUCUCGGUGUCCUCAGAUGGUUGAGAACACUCGCAUAA
Molecule: ribosomal RNA, 1779 nt
Filed under: Triticum aestivum (bread wheat)
Lineage: Eukaryota; Viridiplantae; Streptophyta; Magnoliopsida; Poales; Poaceae
Description: partial small subunit ribosomal RNA
Source: RNAcentral